CAGCAGUCGCCACGGUAAUACAGAGGGUGCGAGCGUUAAUCGGAUUUACUGGGCGUAAAGCGUGCGUAGGCGGCUUCUUAAGUCGGAUGUGAAAUCCCUGAGCUUAACUUAGGAAUUGCAUUCGAUACUGGGAAGCUAGAGUAUGGGAGAGGAUGGUAGAAUUCCAGGUGUAGCGGUGAAAUGCGUAGAGAUCUGGAGGAAUACCGAUGGCGAAGGCAGCCAUCUGGCCUAAUACUGACGCUGAGGUACGAAAGCAUGGGGAGCAAACAGGAUUAGAUACCCGCGUAGUCCCUGUCUCUUAUAC
This 304-nucleotide ribosomal RNA is filed under the name uncultured bacterium. RNAcentral describes it as "partial 16S ribosomal RNA". It matches the Rfam family "Bacterial small subunit ribosomal RNA", at positions 506 to 807 of the family's 1533-position model. The record is from RNAcentral.